CGCUGCCGCUGCCGGGCGGCACCAGCGAGGGAGCAAAAAACCCAUUUCAGGCACAAGGAGAAUGAGGGCACGGAGUCCCACCGGGCUCACGUGGGCACCGGCAUCGCCUUUCCGCAGGAGAGGCUGGAGCAUCCCCCGCCCGCCGAGCGCAGGGGCAGCUCCGCCGGGCAGCCCCGGCCGGCGCACCCAGGGGCGCGGCGAUGGCAGCACGGGCACCCCGCACGCCGGAGGAGGACGAGGACGAUGCCAAAACCGGGCUGGAGAUGUCUGUAAGAUGCUCCAAGCCGGGCUCUCCUCCGGGACAGGAAGGUUUAAUGUGCUCAUUAACGCCAUGAGAGAAGAAAUAGCUCAGAGGACAGAAAAGGAUGCUGGAGGGGGGGAAAUCGAGCUGAGCGGGUCCCUCAAGAGCAAAGGAACGUCACCGAGGAGGAAUUCAGGAAUUCAGGCUGAAGCUGGCGGGUAGAAAUGUGCCACCUCCUCCUCUGCCUUCCUCCGUCCUGGGAGGGCGAGGAGGGCAUGGAGGAGGAAGAGGAGGGUGGGAAGAUAACCUGGGUGAAGGUGGAGGCAGGAUCCAGCCCUGGGUGAGGCCAACGGGGAUAAAAUCACUCUGGAGCACUCAAGGCGAGAUGGCUGUGAGCAGUAGCAAGCUCCAGAAUGGAAAUAAAGAAAAAAAUUGACAAAAAACCCCCCA
Molecule: long non-coding RNA, 691 nt
Filed under: Lonchura striata (white-rumped munia)
Lineage: Eukaryota; Metazoa; Chordata; Aves; Passeriformes; Estrildidae
Description: domestica (Bengalese finch) lncRNA (ENSLSDG00000008925.1)
Source: RNAcentral